This is an RNA transcript of Cuculus canorus (common cuckoo), 6499 nucleotides long. It is a transcript of the gene named small integral membrane protein 20, with no coding region annotated. NCBI's taxonomy places the organism in Eukaryota, Metazoa, Chordata, Aves, Cuculiformes, Cuculidae. The transcript is spliced from 5 exons. The record is from RefSeq and is a predicted model, not a curated record.
AGGUGCCGUACUGUUCUGCUUCCGGCGUCUCCCGGAAGCGCUGCGCGUAACUUCCGGGUGGUGGCGGGUGGCGGCGAUGGCGGGUUUGUCCCGCACGCUCGGCAUCUUCGGCGGCUUCGUGGCUGUGGUGGGGGCGGCCUUUUACCCCAUCUAUUUCCGGCCGCUGCUGCUCCCGGAGCAAUACAAGAAAGAACAGUCAAUAAACCGAGCUGGUAUUAUUCAAGAGGAUAUUCAGCCCGCAGGCCACUGGAUGCAUAUUACUUAGAAUGGCUCCUGAUAAGGCAGGUAUGACAUCUGGAUAAUGACCACUUUCAAGAAGAUAAGAACUUUUCCUCUGCAUCAGUCCUUUGGAAUCACAGAAGACAUACAGAUAAAGAUGAGCCAACAGCAAGUGACUGUUACUGCCUAGUGAGAGUAUGGAUGGAACAGGCUUUCGAAGAGGUGUUUGCACUGCCAGAAGAGGUGAGGAGCUGUUUAUGGGUGAACUGGCCAGCUAUGCUCCCUUUUGAAGCCACGCUGGCAGGAUGACUUCAGCAGCAGAAUGGCAGCCAUGCAGUGGGGCACAAGUGAUUAUCACACCUCUCUCCACCCCGCAAAGUGAGAACCACAGUCACUUUUGUGCAAACUCCUUUUACUCAGAAGCAAAAGAAUGGGGGCUGCUCAGCCCUGUCCAGGAAGAGACAAGAACUGUCCCUCCAACACACCUCAAACAGUGCAAACUGUCUAUUGAUCUUCAGCCUAGGCAGUAUUCCUGUUUCUCUAAAGGAGGGCUACUACCAUUUGGAAGCCUUCCAUGCAAGCUCUUUCCAAACACUCCUUUCUCAUUUCCCUUGGGUUGAAAGGCAUUUUAGAUUUGCCAGCUGGGACUCAGCCCCUGGGCUGAUUCCAGCACCUGAGCCUAGCUUUAUGUCAGAGUGAGCUGGCUGAUCCCGUGGGACGUUACAGUGUGCCCUGACGCAGGUGGUAGUUGGAAAGGUGCUGCCAGACUUCUGCAGCCGAGUGACAGAACGUGACAGCCUCAAAGCCGAGUGGUGGCAAAGCAACGAUUUCCAGCUCGUGAUGUUUAUUAACUGGCAUCCCACUGAGGAACCGUGCGGACUCUGCACACCCCUGCCAGAAGCUGCAGUACUCCUUGGGAGCAGGUGCUGUGUCUCUCUUGCCUGCCUGCUCUACACACAGUCACCUGUAAAUACCAUCUAAACCCUCUCUUGCACCUGCUUAAAACACCUGUGUGCUUGCUAAGGGCUCAGUUUUCCAGAGAGGCACACGUAGCAGCUUUGUCUUGCUCUUGGGAGUCAGAUGUUCUCUCACGGUCUCCCUAUGUCUCAGAGAGCCAGUCAUCCCAAGAGCUGUUAUUCUCAAAUUGACCCUUUACUGCAGGGUGUCCACUGGGAUGACACCUGCCGAUCUUUUGCAGGGAUGCUGGCCCAGGCACAGUGGACCAUGACCACUGGAACGGCUGGUUCCAGCAAGCCAUAGUUCACCAGCCACUCCAAAAUCACCCUUACCAUCCAACAAAUUUCUAGCUAAAAGCAAAACCUGAGCUGUCUGCAAUGAACUGUACCACUUGCAUAGCAAUUGCUGCAUGUAAGGAUAUUCACAGAAAUAAAAAAAAAGCCAUCCUGGUAGCUGUCGACACUUUACAGCAGCUUCAAGAGCUCUUUCUGUUCUCCUCAGCUAAAAUGGUGCCAGGAUGUUUUUGUUGCCUGAUGAGCUCCUGGCAAGAGCUCGUCUUUUGGAUACUGCUGAUUGUGGUACUGCUUAUUGCUGCUGGGCCUGGCAGCCAGCAUCCGUCCCACCACCCUAGCCGGGAGCAGGCACCCGGGGGGCACGAAGACAGCAGCAGAUUGGGGCAUCCGACUCCUUCCUGGGCCACAGCAUGGGCCACAUGGCUGUGGGGAGCUGGAGACUGCUGUGGCGCUGCUGGGGUAGAGGCUGACAGCACUGGAGGGACUGAAAUGGCUUCCCAGGCAAAGUAGGGGAGCCCUGGGGGCUGGCGGGGACCCAAGGGCUGCUUUGGCUUUCCAGCACUACCCUACGCAGCAGCCCUGCUGGCCCCAGCAUGUGCAGGUCAUGGGCUUGAUGAUGAACGCACCGCCUGCUUUAUGCCAAAGCUGUCCCUGGGUGCCUUCUGCAAGUCAUAAACACGAAACUUAAAUCAAAUACCAGAUUUUAAUGCUUCUGCAAGAAGAAGGUGUCUGCAAGAGUCUGGCUUUUUUCCUGGAUAGCUAGAGAUGCCUUAGAAAUGCUGAUGUCUCUUGGGUGUAGCCGGACAAAAUUAUCAUCUGGCCAGGCAGUAAACAAAACCAUUUGUUAAAGGUGAGCACAAAACCUCAGCACCAGCCUGGCCUUCUGACUGUAAUCAAAAUGCUUAUGCCCAUUUGAAUUAAAGUCUCCCUGCAAACUGGAGCAAGUUUAUGCCAUUUUUAAAUGGAAACUCAAGGAGAACGUCAAGCACUCAGCAUCUCAAAAGUAUCUAACAGAGAGAAAAACAUCUUUCAGCGGGUAAAAGGAUCACAAUACCAGGGUUAAUUUCCAACAGAUAAAUAGGAGCUGAGAAUAACCUGCUGCUUAACAACCACUAAGGAAAAGGUGGCAUGAUGGGAGAGGCUUCAGUCUAUUUUGGAGGCCUUGCUUUUGCCUCCCUGCUCAUGGCAAUAUUCUUUGUUUGUGCAAUGUUUUCCACCCAAGCAACAAUGCUGUUAAAGAAAAAAUGAUACUGUUGAUGAAUUAUUUGGUGUUAGCUUUCCAGUCAGAAAAGUGAAAGGAGAUGCAUUUCUCAUACUGAAAUGAUGUCACUUUGGGAAGGGAAUAAUGUUUUUGGACUACAAGAUAAUUAAUGUCUGCUACCCCUGAGGGUUUGAUUAAACUAUCAAGUACCAAGUGACAUCUUUGCCACAUGACACUUCUUUGGAAACCAUAAGAACCAGAACAGCAUUUCAGUGUAUACUUUGGCUAACGUGGAGCCACUGCUCCUCUCCGGGGCUCAAUUUGUCAUGACUCCUAGGCGGGGAGGAAUCUUUGGUCUCUCGAAAUAGGUUAUUUCCUUUUUUGGAGAGAAAUAAGAAGACACAAGCAAGGGAUUAAUAAAUUUUUGGGUAGGAUUCCUGCAGCAAGGCAUUGAGAUGAAUAUGAAAAGUGGUAGAACUGAGACCUGGGGCUGUGUUUCUUGGGAGGAAUACUUUGCAUUUCACAAUCAGCACAGAGGGAGAAACUAUUAUUUUUUUUUUCCUGUAGGUGUUUUAAACACAAAUAACUAAUGCUGGAACCAAUAGUUCCUUGUAUUGAAGGAAGUGCCCUCAUAAAGAGUGAGGAAUACCCAUCUGAAAUGAGAGAGAUGGUGAAGAAAAACAAAGAAUAGGCAGCAAAAAGAGGAGGGAAAUACAGAUGACAUAAGAAAGUGACAUAAAUAUGGAAGAAAAGGAGAAAAAGCAAUUGUUAGGAAAUUAAUCAGGGAAUUACGCUAACACAUUGGAAUUACAUCAGGUCAGUUCCACAGCCAAAUGGGCCUUGCUGUGGUAGAUAACACUGUCCUAGCUUCUACCACUUCACUUUUAAAAGGUAAAAUCUGUCCUGAUCCUCAAACACCUUCAGCCACUCUGUCCGACUUCCUGUAAGUGCUGUGCAAGAAAACCCCAUGCGUACAUGCUCUGGUAGAGCAGUGAAUACAGCAGGUGAAAAAAUGGAAUGAUAAUUAAAACUAAAUAUUAGAAUGCUGUUGUAAUCCUAUCACGGGGCUUGACAUGAAAUGAAUUUUCAUUUAAAAAUAAGGGGACAAUAGUUCGUUUUAUGUUCUUAAUUCCUAUUUUUUCCCCUCCUUUUAAGAAAGACUACCACAAAAUUUUAUAAUGUCCAGCUAUCUCCACAUACAAAGAACUAAUUUCCUGUUCUGUACCUUCAUAACUUUUAAGGGCACCACAGUCAUGAUGCUUUGUUGCUCCCUAAGUUUCCCAGUUGGAGGGAAGUAUGUUGAGUAAGUGAAACAAUAGACAUGAAAAUAGUAAAGGAAGAAAUAUCUCCGUAACUCUGCUAAACCUGUUACAUGCCAUAGCUGGGUAAGGUGAGCAAAAAAACCCAAACAAAAUUAAAUUUGAAAUCUUUUGUGGGAUUUUGUUUUUAAACUUUUUGUGAAAAGAUUAGAAUUUUCUUUUUUUUUCCCAGUCCCUAAGUGUGUUUUAGAUGAAACUCAGUUUUUAGGAUCCAGACCUUCUACUGGCCGUAACGUUUGGUUACAGGCUUGGAUUCCUCAAACUGUUUCAUUCAUCUAUGUCAGCCAAAAUGCCAGAGAAACAAUUUGGGCAUGCAGGCCCAAACAGGAAGCUUUUAAAGUGUUGCCCCAUCAUUCAGAAACUGAAGGAUUUAUUUCCUUCUUUUUCACAUGCUGCAGCAGAAAUUGUCUCCAAUUUCAAUGAUCUUGAGUAAAAAUAAUUUUGCUGGCACAAUGUGGAGAACAGAAAAUAUGAAAUAAAAGGUGUUGAGUCAAAAGCUAUAGUCAACUGACCAAGUUUUUAUAAAAUUGUCCCUAGUAUUCUCAACUUUUAUUUGUUUUAUUAAAUAAUUAUGUAAGAUGAUACCUCUUGUUUUAUUUGUUCUAAGGAUUUGUGUAUUUCUUAGCUUGCUAGGCUAGGGCAUGGGAUUGGAAAAUCUCAUGAAAUCUCUCAUGGCUUCAAGAAAGGAAGUAAUUUUUUUCUGGAGUAAAUUUCCAUGCUUGAUAGAAAGUAUUUAUAUAUUCUCUACCUAAGUGAACUUUUUUGUGUUGAAAAAGAAAUGAAAUAACUGUUGUGGCUUUGGCUAGAGAUGUGAACUCAUACUAUUAGUCCGAGGAGCAAUAGUGAACAAGAGCCAUCUUUAUUCAGUUGUCUGUGUACUUUAUGUCCCUGCGCCAGUCCCUUUGCCACUAUAUUGCGUUAUUCUCUAGCAACCUGUUUCAUACUUCUUGGAACACCUCCCUGAAGCAACAGUGUGUGCUAGGUCAUGGAAGACUUCAGGAAAUACAAUAAAGUUUGAAGUCCUACCAUUUUCUGGGGGUAGACUGAGUAUAAUAAAAUUUCUGGAGUUUUUUCACUAAAAAAAGGCUAAACCUCAAGUUCAGUGUUGACAGAAGAAGUUGCUGCUAAAGUUCUUGCAAGAUAGCUGUGAUUGAAGGAAGUUUUUAUGCAGUACCUGUGAAGACUCAGCAAUACAACGGAGGAAGCGAUGGCACCACUUUGGUAGCAAUGGAGUUCUAAGUCAUCCAAAGAACAAGAAGACACUUGUAGCACCUGCAGAAGGAAAAAUUAAAGCUCACCUGAGGAAGCACACCUUUUCACUUUCUCUUACAACUGCUCUCAGAUAGGAGUGAGUUGUUUGGGGGCUUUGAAGAGUAAUUUGGAUUCAAGACAUCGAAUAUACAGGGAUUUGUUUAGGUACUUGCAUGGCAGACUAGUCCUGUUAUCGCUGUGAGCAAGUUGUCAUGGCUUUUCAUAAAGAAAAGAGAGUGAUGGUUUGUUUUGUGGAGACUUAUUUCUAUUCACUGUUAAGGAUGAACUGUUAAGCUAAGGAUGGCAAUUCCCACCUCUGGGUAUCUUACCAACAGGAGGAAGAAUGUGACAAUAUGCAAAGCUUUGUAGGAGUCCCUGUGAUCAUCUCUUGGCAGCCUGUUAGAGACCAUUUUGAAUUAUUAGAAUUCUUGAAGUAUGAAGGAAUUAUUUGAGGUAGUGAGAUUUCACUUUUGUACUUUGCCUGUGAAAUGUAUGCCUACCUUAGUAAAGCAGAAGUGAAAUGCAUGUUGCCGAAGUUUUUAAGAGCUCUGAAUUUUACAGAAUCAAACAGAUGCUUGUUCUGCACGUAUGGUAGACCUGAGGUGUGUCUGUGUGUCUGCUUUUGCACUACAGAAAACAUUCCCAGACUUCACAAACAGAGACAAUCACCUGGUCAAUAAUAUUCUCAGCAGAAGGCAGACGGUGGGAUCUGACACUGUACAGUCUAGUUGCUAUGAACUGUUACUGCUGGCGACUGCGUAUGUGGGAUUUAUAGGUGAACGUCCUCCCCACAGCUUUGGGGAUUAAUUCUUCUCAUGCUUUAUUAAUAAACUGUCUUAGUUUUGCCGAAAUAAUUUACAGCAGUAUGGAUUGUUAUUAUUGGUACAUUGAAGAACAUGCAGACUUUUGAAAAGGACCUUCAUCUUUUAGUAAGUGAUAAAGAAGGGAAUGUAUGUAGAGCUGGAGUGGAAAGUAAGGCUACAAAGUAUUGCAUGUCUGGCUUUUGUUUUGUUAUUUUUGUGACUCUUGUUGAGCUCUUUGCUGAAAUAUUUCCUACUAGACACUUAAAUGGAAGCACUCUGGUCUAAACGGACAUAGUAUCUGAGUGGAUCUGGCAGUUCCUAUGUUAAAUGUUAAGCUAUUUCUAGAAUAUACAAAUAAAGGAGCAGAUAUAUUAUAGAUUAUGGAAUGCAAUUAAAAGGAUAUAAAUUUCUUUCUUGUAAUCCUUUAUAGUCAUGAAGUGAAGGUACAGAUAUUCA